Molecule: ribosomal RNA, 301 nt
Filed under: uncultured bacterium
Lineage: Bacteria
Description: partial 16S ribosomal RNA
Rfam family: Bacterial small subunit ribosomal RNA
Source: RNAcentral
CAGUCGCCGCGGGAAUACGAAGGGUGCAAGCGUUAAUCGGAAUUACUGGGCGUAAAGUGUGCGUAGGCGGUUUGUUAAGUCUGUUGUGAAAUCCCCGGGCUCAACCUGGGAAUGGCAAUGGAUACUGGCAAGCUAGAGUGUGUCAGAGGAUGGUGGAAUUCCCGGUGUAGCGGUGAAAUGCGUAGAGAUCGGGAGGAACAUCAGUGGCGAAGGCGGCCAUCUGGGACAACACUGACGCUGAGGCACGAAAGCGUGGGGAGCAAACAGGAUUAGAUACCCCGGUAGUCCCUGUCUCUUAUAC